CGGAAAGCCUGAUGCAGCAACGCCGCGUGCGGGAUGACGGCCUUCGGGUUGUAAACCGCUUCAGCUCCGACGAAGCGCAAGUGACGGUAGGAGCAGAAGAAGGACCGGCCAACUACGUGCCAGCAGCCGCGGUGAUACGUAGGGUCCGAGCGUUGUCCGGAAUUAUUGGGCGUAAAGGGCUUGUGGGCGGUUUGUCACGUCGGAAGUGAAAACUCAGGGCUUAACCCUGAGCCUGCUUCCGAUACGGGCAAACUAGAGGGAUGCAGGGGAGGAUGGAAUUCCUGGUGGAGCGGUGGAAUGCGCAGAUAUCAGGAGGAACACCAGUGGCGAAGGCGGUUCUCUGGGCAUUUCCUGACGCUGAGAAGCGAAAGCGUGGGGAGCAAACAGGCUUAGAUACCCUGGUAGUCCACGCCGUAAACGGUGGGCACUAGGUGUGGGACUCAUUCCACGAGUUCCGUGCCGUAGCUAACGCAUUAAGUGCCCCGCCUGGGGAGUACGGCCGCAAGGCUA
RNAcentral lists this ribosomal RNA (510 nucleotides) under uncultured Actinomycetes bacterium. Its description in RNAcentral is "bacterial SSU rRNA". It matches the Rfam family "Bacterial small subunit ribosomal RNA", at positions 376 to 896 of the family's 1533-position model. The record is from RNAcentral. Lineage: Bacteria; Bacillati; Actinomycetota; Actinomycetes.